RNAcentral lists this ribosomal RNA (305 nucleotides) under uncultured bacterium. RNAcentral's name for it is "bacterial SSU rRNA". It matches the Rfam family "Bacterial small subunit ribosomal RNA", at positions 338 to 660 of the family's 1533-position model. The record is from RNAcentral.
CCUACGGGGCGCAGCAGUGGGGAAUAUUGCACAAUGGGCGAAAGCCUGAUGCAGCAACGCCGCGUGAAGGAAGAAGGUCUUCGGAUCGUAAACUUCUGUCCUUGGGGAAGAUAAUGACGGUACCCUUGGAGGAAGCCCCGGCUAACUACGUGCCAGCAGCCGCGGUAAUACGUAGGGGGCAAGCGUUAUCCGGAAUUAUUGGGCGUAAAGAGUGCGUAGGCGGGUGGUCAAGUCAGAUGUGAAAUCCUGUAGCUUAACUACAGAACUGCAUUUGAAACUGAUCAUCUAGAGUAUGGGAGAGGUAG